GGUUAAGCAAAAAAGCGUACAUGGUGAAUGCCUUGGCAGUCAGAGGCGAUGAAGGACGUACUAAUCUGCGAAAAGCGACGGCAAGCUGAUAUGAAGCGUAAUAACCGUUGAUAUCCGAAUGGGGAAACCCGAUGCAAAACUUGCAUCAUUGUUAAGUGAAUUAAAUAAUUUAACAAAGCAAACCAAGGGAACUGAAACAUCUAAGUACCUUGAGGAAAAGAAAUCAACCGAGAUUCCCCCAGUAGUGGCGAGCGAAAAGGGAAAAGCCCAGAGCUAUAAUCAAUAUUAAUUUUAGUAGAAUGAUUUGGAAAAUUCAGCGAUACAUGGUGAAAGCCCAGUAUACGAAAAAAAUAAUAUUGUGAGCUCAAUAAGUAGAACGGGACACGAGAAAUCCUGUUUGAAGACGGGGGGACCAUCCUCCAAGGCUAAAUACUCCUGACUGACCGAUAGUGAACUAGUACCGUAAGGGAAAGGCGAAAAGAACCCCGGCGAGGGGAGUGAAAUAGAACCUGAAACCGUGUACGUACAAGCAGUGGAAGUGUAUUGUAAAAUAUGUGACUGCGUACCUUUUGUAUAAUGGGUCAGCGACUUGUACUCUGUAGCAAGGUUAACUACAUAAGGGAGCCGAAGGGAAACCGAGUCCUAAAUAGGCGUUAAGUUUCAGGGUACAGACCCGAAACCCGGUGAUCUAGCCACGGGCAGGUUGAAGGUCAGGUAAAACUAACUGGAGGACCGAACCGACUGAUGUUGAAAAAUCAGCGGAUGACCUAUGGCUAGGGGUGAAAGGCCAAUCAAACCGGGAGAUAGCUGGUUCUCCCCGAAAGCUAUUUA
RNAcentral lists this ribosomal RNA (831 nucleotides) under Candidatus Portiera aleyrodidarum (primary endosymbiont of Bemisia tabaci). Its description in RNAcentral is "partial 23S ribosomal RNA". It matches the Rfam family "Bacterial large subunit ribosomal RNA", at positions 1 to 872 of the family's 2925-position model. The record is from RNAcentral. RNAcentral also lists the same sequence under 1 other name. Lineage: Bacteria; Pseudomonadati; Pseudomonadota; Gammaproteobacteria; Johnevansiales (SeqCode); Johnevansiaceae (SeqCode).